This 759-nucleotide ribosomal RNA is filed under the name Staphylococcus aureus. Its description in RNAcentral is "partial 23S ribosomal RNA". It matches the Rfam family "Bacterial large subunit ribosomal RNA", at positions 228 to 985 of the family's 2925-position model. The record is from RNAcentral. Lineage: Bacteria; Bacillati; Bacillota; Bacilli; Caryophanales; Staphylococcaceae.
AAUUCGAUUCCCUUAGUAGCGGCGAGCGAAACGGGAAGAGCCCAAACCAACAAGCUUGCUUGUUGGGGUUGUAGGACACUCUAUACGGAGUUACAAAGGACGACAUUAGACGAAUCAUCUGGAAAGAUGAAUCAAAGAAGGUAAUAAUCCUGUAGUCGAAAAUGUUGUCUCUCUUGAGUGGAUCCUGAGUACGACGGAGCACGUGAAAUUCCGUCGGAAUCUGGGAGGACCAUCUCCUAAGGCUAAAUACUCUCUAGUGACCGAUAGUGAACCAGUACCGUGAGGGAAAGGUGAAAAGCACCCCGGAAGGGGAGUGAAAUAGAACCUGAAACCGUGUGCUUACAAGUAGUCAGAGCCCGUUAAUGGGUGAUGGCGUGCCUUUUGUAGAAUGAACCGGCGAGUUACGAUUUGAUGCAAGGUUAAGCAGUAAAUGUGGAGCCGUAGCGAAAGCGAGUCUGAAUAGGGCGUUUAGUAUUUGGUCGUAGACCCGAAACCAGGUGAUCUACCCUUGGUCAGGUUGAAGUUCAGGUAACACUGAAUGGAGGACCGAACCGACUUACGUUGAAAAGUGAGCGGAUGAACUGAGGGUAGCGGAGAAAUUCCAAUCGAACCUGGAGAUAGCUGGUUCUCUCCGAAAUAGCUUUAGGGCUAGCCUCAAGUGAUGAUUAUUGGAGGUAGAGCACUGUUUGGACGAGGGGCCCCUCUCGGGUUACCGAAUUCAGACAAACUCCGAAUGCCAAUUAAUUUAACUUGGGAGUC